GAUGAAACGUAGCGAAAUGCGAUACGUAAUGUGAAUUGCAAAUUCAGUGAAUCAUCGAGUCUUUGAACGCACAUUGCGCUCCCUGGUAUUCCGGGGGGCAUGCCUGUCCGAGCGUCAUUACAACCCUCAAGCUCAGCUUGGUGUUGGGCCCCGCCGCCCCGGCGGGCCCUAAAGUCAGUGGCGGUGCCGUCCGGCUCCGAGCGUAGUAAUUCUUCUCGCUCUGGAGGUCCGGUCGUGUGCUCGCCAGCAACCCCCAAUUUUUUUCAGGUUGACCUCGGAUCAGGUAGGGAUACCCGCUGAACUUAAGCAUAUCAAUAAGCGGAGGA
This 326-nucleotide unclassified non-coding RNA is filed under the name soil metagenome. RNAcentral describes it as "partial contains 5.8S ribosomal RNA, internal transcribed spacer 2, and large subunit ribosomal RNA". The stretch from base 1 to 117 matches the Rfam family "5.8S ribosomal RNA", at positions 35 to 154 of the family's 154-position model. The record is from RNAcentral.